Molecule: ribosomal RNA, 356 nt
Filed under: Vairimorpha ceranae
Lineage: Eukaryota; Fungi; Microsporidia; Nosematidae
Description: 16S rRNA
Rfam family: Microsporidia small subunit ribosomal RNA
Source: RNAcentral
UAACCCAUGCAUGUUUUUGACAUUUGAAAAAUGGACUGCUCAGUAAUACUCACUUUAUUUUAUGUAAAUUUUUAAUUAACUACGUUAAAGUGUAGAUAAGAUGUUUACAGUAAGAGUGAGACCUAUCAGCUAGUUGUUAAGGUAAUGGCUUAACAAGGCUGUGACGGGUAACGGUAUUACUUUGUAAUAUUCCGGAGAAGGAGCCUGAGAGACGGCUACUAAGUCUAAGGAUUGCAGCAGGGGCGAAACUUGACCUAUGGAUUUUAUCUGAGGCAGUUAUGGGAAGUAAUAUUAUAUUGUUUCAUAUUUUAAAAGUAUAUGAGGUGAUUAAUUGGAGGGCAAAUCAAGUGCCAGCA